Molecule: ribosomal RNA, 520 nt
Filed under: uncultured Diversispora
Lineage: Eukaryota; Fungi; Glomeromycota; Glomeromycetes; Diversisporales; Diversisporaceae
Description: SSU rRNA
Rfam family: Eukaryotic small subunit ribosomal RNA
Source: RNAcentral
AGCAGCCGCGGUAAUUCCAGCUCCAAUAGCGUAUAUUAAAGUUGUUGCAGUUAAAAAGCUCGUAGUUGAACUUCGGGGUUUACUCAUUGGUCAGGCUUAAUUGUCUGUACUGGUGAGAUGAAUCUCUACCUUCUGAGGAACUUUCAUGCCAUUAAUUUGGUGUGUUGGGAAAUCAGGACUGUUACUUUGAAAAAAUUAGAGUGUUUAAAGCAGGCUAACGUCUGAAUACAUUAGCAUGGAAUAAUGAAAUAGGACGGAUUGAUUCUAUUUCGUUGGUUUCUAGGGUCACCGUAAUGAUUAAUAGGGAUAGUUGGGGGCAUUAGUAUUCAAUUGUCAGAGGUGAAAUUCUUGGAUUUAUUGAAGACUAACUACUGCGAAAGCAUUUGCCAAGGAUGUUUUCAUUAAUCAAGAACGAAAGUUAGGGGAUCGAAGACGAUCAGAUACCGUCGUAGUCUUAACCAUAAACUAUGCCGACUAGGGAUCGGAUGAUGUUAAUUUUUAAUGACUCAUUCGGCGUCCG